AUAAAACAAACACUUUCUUACUUGUGGUUAAAUAACACCCAUGCUCAAAGGAUUGUGUCCUUUCAAAGUAAAAGCAGACUCACUGAGUCAGUGAUCUGACACAGAGCUGGUUGUAGUCGCCCGGAUCUUAAAGCAGGAUCCACCCCACCCCACCCUUUUCCUGCCACUCUCCUGGCACACAGAUAGAAGCUGACGGCGUGCUACGCCUCAGCCUGGCAGCGACCUAUGCUUACAAAAUGGCUGAUUUCUGUCUGCCAGCUGUCUCCCUCAGCCAAGAUGGCGCUCAGUCGCUUUCUGUUUUUUGUUUUUUUUAAUGCCCGCUGUUUGCCAUCUGCCCCGUGAUUGUUAACGGCUAUGCAAAUAUCUUGUAAUUGCCUUUGCAUGUGCUUGGUGCUUAGCCCCUCCCCCUCGGCUGUAAAUAAUGGUGCCAGGGAUGAAAGAAAACGUGGCGCCGAGCGGUUCCUGAUUGAAUACGCAGCAGGAACAAUUAGCAAAUGAAUGUUGUCCGUUGUUACUCUUUUUUUUUCUUUCUUUUCUUUUCUCAUCUCCGUGAGCUCACCUUGUUCUGUAUGCAAAUCGCUGAUGCUGUUUAAGGCUUCAGCUGGAAAGUACAGCAGCGCCUGGUGUCUCUCCGAGCGGCUGAUUCGGAGAUGCUCGUGUGUCUUCUCAUUGUGCCAUAUGUGACAUCUGUGGUUGGCUGCAUCACAAGGGUACCCUGCCUCCUGUGACAGGCAAAGCCCACACUGUAAAGGCGAGCAGAAGCAAGGGGGAGGCAUAACAUAAUGACCUCAUUAGCAUGCUCAGCACUCCUUGCUAUAGGCCGCGGUGCUGCGCUGCGCCGUGGGACCCACCGGUGUACGCCCUUCUCACAGCACUCAGCAUGCAACAUUGUGUUCUCCCCACACAAUGCGGUGCUUCAUACAGGCUUUAUUACGCCUUGUCAAAGCGCAGGAGGAUCAGGGGUAUCAGUGCAGAAGUAGCAGGAUACACACUGUGCACGUGGAACGGGAGAUGUCUCGGUGCUUAAUGGUUUUAACGGGAACUGGCGCAUCCUAGGCUGCUGCUGUUGGACGCUGACAUGUGUGUGUGUGUUUGUGUGUUUUUUGUUUCUCGUGUGUGUGUUUGUGUAGUUGUCUGCUUCGUAGCCAGCUGGAAGUUGAGUGUGUUUUCACCUGUCAGAGAUAAUUAUUGCAAAGACUGAUUUGGCGACACGUCCUGAAUCUAGGCCACUCGUCCACAAUGAAGAUCUGCUGCAUGGCAUCUGUUAGCCUCACACUGGCAACCUCACAGAAAGGGGACAUGGGUCGACACCCUUUAAUUAUGUCCAAGAUUUAAACCUUGCGAGUUUGCAUGUUGGAAAAAAGUGCUUGGGUUGUGUAAGGAGAAAAGACUAAUUAGAUACCUGCAUGGAUGGAAUCAAAACGCAGAUUUCAGCUUGCUUCAUUCAUCAUUAUGAAUAUGGAUGCAAAUACCCACUAAAUCUAUCUAUUUAUCCUAAAUAAUAAUGAUUGCAAUUUCAGUGGUGCAAAAGCGUCCAAUACAUUUCAAAAUUAAAGUUUCCUUAAGACUAAGACUCCUCUAAAUCCCCGAGCCAGCACAACGUGAUGAUGGAACAUGAGGGUUUAUCACAACUGAUCGCAAACUCAACAGUGAUAUAGCAGCUAUGCAUUUUCUAGCAUCGUACAGUAAGAUCUGCACAAGCACAAUAAAUAACACAAUACUGUGUGGAAUUUACAGGGAUUUUCAUCUUUUGACUUCAUUUUCUAUCAGACUGAGAAAGUUUUAAUCCAUCUUACAGCGGAGGUGAGGAAUCCACAUUAAAUGUGUUAGCCUAGCUGAGCUAAAGGAAAGAAUCAGUAAAGAGUUUAGAUCAAAUACAACAAGUAUUACCUUCAAUAGUUUGUUUGAUUUGUCCAGUUUUAAUAGCUUGGUCAGAUUUAUUUAAUUUGUGAAAACGUGUUUACUUUUCUGAAACAUAGUCAGAAAAAUACAGUGCAUUAGUAAAUUAUUUUACCUUUCAUUCAUACAUUUAAUCCUAUGAUACCAUGCUUUGUAUUGAACCUCCGAUUAGCAUCACAGCCAGAGCCUCCAGCUCUGUAGCGAUGCGUGGAUGCUGCACAAACACUUGGGGUGUCUAAAGUCACGGGGAAAGAGCCAUCCUGCUCCCAGUGCCCUGCUGAAAGCUUUUACUCUAAUGACAAAGGCCACGUUUGCUGCGGUUAUUCAUAAUUCAAUAUGCAGAACACGUGCACGUCCACACUGAGGCUCAGGCAGAGACAGGACCUUAAAAAUAAAUUUAUAAGAGUUGGAAUUGCUUUAAUUAUUUAACAUUUUGUUUUUCAAACAACAAAAUUUCAAAUGUGUUCAUUUGGAUUAAAGAGGAUCUUUUCUUUGCUUGUGAUCUUGUGUUCAUAAGAAAUUGCUACUAAUCUGGAUUUUUUUUAUUAAAGACCUAAUUUAUCGGUCACUGAUUUGUGAUUUUUUUUUCCAGUCAGAAUAAAUUCUAACGUCUCUUCAAGCAAACAAGCCGUGUUACCUAAAGAAACCAUUACUGAUCAGGUGCAAAGACUUAAAAAGAUUUUCUUAACUAGAGUGUUUUUCUAUCAUCUUCACUGAGACUUGAAUGCUGGGUGUUCAUUUGUGCGCGUGAUUGUCAUCCACUCCACUGCAGCUUUUUUCAUUCUGUCUGCCUCUUGCUUUUUAUUUGCUUAGGUAUUGAUUGAAUGUGGUCCACCCUCUGAAGUAAUAGUUGCUGAAAGCAUUUACAGCCUUCACUCAUUUCAUCCAGCGCUGGUUUGCACGUUUUUUUUUUCGCUCCCUCCCUCGUGUGACCAAUGUGAUCUGGUUUGGGUCUCAAAUUAGACUCAACCUGAUUCACAUAAGAAGAAUCAUCAUUUUGCAUGGCUUGAUUCACCAGAACAUGUCAGAGUGAUCAUUUUUACACACCUCUAAAAUCUAGUUUUACAGAUUUCUGAUACGUUUGUUCUGCUCAGAGAUUCACAAACGUUUUGGAUAGAUGCGUGUCCUUAUAUACCCUUUUUAAAGAGUCUAAAAUACAUAAUGGUUUAUAAAAUCAUGUAUUAUAGACAAUAGGAAUAAGCUUUUAAUUUGUCAGAAAGUCUGAAAUGUUAUUCUGGUUUUGUUUGGGCCAAAAUAUGCACAGUACCCAAAUCUAUUUCACUCCGUUGAUGCUUGAGUACAUUCCUUAGCUGAAACCACCCGUCUUAGGAAAAUAAUUCCCCAGUCAAGUGCUGGUGCUGAGCUUUCACCGUAUAGCUGCAACGCUAAGCCCCAAGUCUGAUUAUAGACUCAAGGAAAAACAGUCAGACAUUUAUCCAAGUCACUGAUUAUGUCAUUUCAACAGGCUGCAAACACUCAGACGGGCUAGACAGCUCAGAGGGGAGAAUUGUGAAGCUGGAGUAGGAUGGAGGCUGCAUGAAAAGGAAAUGAAAAUGGAGCAGAGCUGUAUGUGUGAUUAAACUGCCUGCUCGCCAGAAAAAGGCCAUGCUGGUAUAACGCGGUCUGGAGACUUGGCUGUAAUGAAAAUGUAAAGGUGGUGGGGUUUGGACCCCCAAAAUGAUGCGUAUGAGCACUUACAUUCACAAUAUUACAUUAUGUGGUGUGUGUGUGUGCACGCGUGAGCGUGUGCCUGUGUGUGUGUGUCUGUGUGCGUACAUGCUUGCUUAGGUGAAAGCAAAAUCUCAUGAAGCAGCAGAUAGAUUUCAUUGAAACUCUAAGAAAGUGUCAGAUAGACACCUACUGAAUAACAUUUGGAGUCAGCCCAAAUCAAGAUGGCCACCAGAGCUUAUUGGUCUUUAAAAACCACAAGAAAAGCUGUUCCUCAGUACUAUGCCUAGUUGUGUACUCACGGACGUGAAAAACAUCAACAGUGUUGGCCCAAGAACUGUUCUAAUCCUAAGUACAUAUCAUGGCUUUCAAUGUUCCCGGAUGUGCCCUUGCUCUGCCCAUUGUAUCAGGAAUGCAUUGAUGAGUGCUUCUGCAGACUUGGGUCUGCAAGGUGGCCCAUAAUGCAUUGCAUCGCAAACUGUUAUACCUCAAAUGGAAAAUUGCAGAGGAAAAAGCACAUAACUGUAGUGUUUUUACAUUAAAAAUAUGAAUAAUGAAGUCUAUAUAUAUAUACAUAUAUACAUAUAUAUAUAUAUAUAUAUAUACAUGUGUACAUAUACAUAUACAUAUACUGUCAUGGCCUGAGGCAUAUCGUUCCCCACACUAACCCUUCUCCUGCAGGUGGGCGGUGCCAGAGAGCUGCCCUGCUGCAGCCAUUCAGCUGCAAUCACCGGCUGGCUACAUGAGGAGCAGUCUGAGACCUACACGACGUCGGAUGAUUAACUCGUUAGGAUAUCACUCUACAUCAUCUCUCCAGCCAUAACCAACGGAUCUCUUCUCCACAUCGUCUCAUCUGCUCAGCCAGCCGACCCGCUCUCUCUCUCUCUCUCCCCCCACCUGCCUCGCUUAAUGUUUUGGACCCGUCAUCGUCUUCAUUCCUCGUCUCUGAGGCUUGGACCCUGUUUUGAGCUCCUCUCCACCUCAGGCCAGACCUACCCUCUCCUCUGCAUCUACACCUCUCCACCAUAAAAUUCUGCCCCGUACAUCAGAGCUUCCUCGAGAGUGCCUCACCUGUCAUCCCCUCGUUUAAUAAAUAUCAUUACUUUCUCUUACCUUUGUCUCCCGGCUCUGAUUCUGCAUGUGGGUUAGAAAAUUAAACGCCAACAUGACAGAAUCAUCCGACCAAUCAGCUAACCUUGCAGAAUAUGUGCCAUCCAGAAUUUCCGAAAUUCUCCACGAACAUGACUCCACACUGCGUACUUUACUUGAACAGCUGUCUCUGACUAAUCAGCAUCUGCACAAUUUAGAUACGGCAGUUUGCCAUCUGCAUGAGCAGUGUUCAGCUCCACCACCACCGACUCAGCCUGGAGGAAAGAAACAGGCGAAUGUCCUCUAGACUCUGCCUUUAUUGUGGACAGUCUGGACAUUUCGUCUCUCAAUGUCCAGACCAGCCAAAAGGGAGAACCCACCAGUAAAACCGGGAUUUCGGGUGGGUGCAAGUGCGUACAGUUUAUCUCGGUGUUUACUUUCCUGUGUUGUCUCCUUCUCUCAGCACAGCCUUCCCUUUCGAGCUCUAGUGGAUUCUGGAAGGGAGCAAAACCUUGUGGAUCAAGCAGUUGUGGACCGACUCCAAAUUCCCACUCAUUCUACCUACACCCUUACAGGCCUCCUCCUUGGAUGGAAAUCCUCUCUCUCCCAUCACCCAUAAGACAAUACCCAUUCCCCUUUGAAUUUAUGGUAAUCAUCACGAACAGUUAACGUUUUUUGUGUUUCCAUCCCCCCAGUCUCCUGGUCACCCUUGGCUCGUCACCCAUAACCCACACAUUAACUGGAGAACAAGUAGUGUGGAGUCCUGGAGUUCCCGCUGUUUCAACACCUGUCUUCAAGCAGCCACGGUGACCACCUCGGACCAGCCUAGCCCCCCAGUUACUCAACCAGACUUAUCAGGAGUUCCUCCCGACUACCACAAUCUCCUUCAGAUGCAGUUUGGGGGGAUAAAAUCCACCUUAAGGACGAAAAGCAGAUUUUCCACCAGAACAAAGCCCACAUGCUGCCUGUAGCUAGCUUCUUUGAACAUGUUUAGCUGUAGCCUCACACGGACGAGCCAGCUCCACACCUGCACCAGCAGUCGGUGCUUCCGACACAUCAUUAAGUCAGACAAUCAGCCGUCUAGUCAACAGCCCCCGCUGAUGCGAACAGGCAAGCCUCAGCCGCUUCUAAAGGUAAGUUUAACAGUCAAAUCUAUUUAAGAGCUGUAGAAAGUGUAAAGUGGACCCGCAGCAUAAUGUUUCCCCAGAAUUUGUUUCGUUAGAUAUGAAUAACUAUUUUUGAAACCAAUUUUAGCUCGGAGAUUGAAUGAGACCCCAAGUGGUCUCUUUUAUUUAUUUAUUUUGUCACCCGGUAAUUCAAGUAUUAGACUGUAAAAUUGCUCGAUAAGAGUUUGCUGCAGUUUGUUUUCUGCAUGGGAAAAAGAAAUCAGCCAAUGCAUAUUUGUAUAUCACUGCUGUGGUGUAAUGAUUUAUUGUUUCUAAAGUAUUGAUUUAAACGGCAAAACAAGUUCUGAUGUCUUCAAUAAAGUUCGUGAAAAAGUUAAA
Molecule: non-coding RNA, 6161 nt
Organism: Nothobranchius furzeri (turquoise killifish)
Lineage: Eukaryota; Metazoa; Chordata; Actinopteri; Cyprinodontiformes; Nothobranchiidae
Source: RefSeq, a predicted model, not a curated record